Molecule: transfer RNA, 118 nt
Filed under: Lachnospiraceae bacterium
Lineage: Bacteria; Bacillati; Bacillota; Clostridia; Lachnospirales; Lachnospiraceae
Description: tRNA-OTHER
Rfam family: tRNA
About the family: Transfer RNA (tRNA) molecules are approximately 80 nucleotides in length. Their secondary structure includes four short double-helical elements and three loops (D, anti-codon, and T loops).
Source: RNAcentral
AGGGCUAUAGCUCAGAUGGGUAGAGCAGGAAAAAAGGAGCUUUGACAAAAGCUCUUGCAGCAAUUUUCUUAAUGGACUUUUAAUCCCCGUGUCGCCGGUUCGAAUCCGGCUAGCCCUA